RNAcentral lists this long non-coding RNA (1216 nucleotides) under Zonotrichia albicollis (white-throated sparrow). RNAcentral's name for it is "lncRNA (ENSZALG00000007350.1)". The record is from RNAcentral. Lineage: Eukaryota; Metazoa; Chordata; Aves; Passeriformes; Passerellidae.
AUGCCUCCAUGCCUUCCAGCCAGGAGACCAAGCAGAGCACGGGGAAACUUCCUGCUGAGACUUCACUUAGACCAACUGAUAUCUUCUCCCUGCCUGGAGAAAACCUUUGUUCUCGACACUGAAGACAGGCACUUAAAAGUAAGCCUGUUUGGUCUGCCCCUAUUAACCAGCAGUGCUGACAGAGAAAAUCGCUUUUCCCCAGUGUUCAGCACUUGAGAACCACAGGAUUGAGAUUGUUUAUUCAGACUGCUUGAUUCUUUGGUAUCAUCCAGUGGGACAGGCUGAGUCACUACUUGAUUCUCAUUUCUCUUCACAUGAAGGUUUCAGCUCCCUUGGACUGCCAUGAAUCCCAAGCAAUGAUCCUGGUUUUGUCCUGACAGCCCCCCCCAGGUUUCCAUUGGACUUCCUGGUCUGGUGGUCAGAGAGACCCCUCCCCUGGGCUCUGAACUCCUCCUCUGCUGGGAUGAUGGGGGAAGGCAUCAGCACAAGCUGCCAGAUGGCACCACCUGGGAGAUUUUGUUUCUUUUUGUGCUGCCCUUCUCUCAACAGGGCAAGCUCUUGGGGCAGAUAAGGAUGUAUUAAGUGAUGGGAAGAUGUGCAAUUGUCUCCUAAAAGGUGUCAGUUCAGUAUUGCUGCAGAUGAGAGGCAACUCUUCUAUUUCUGUCCUUAGUCUGAAAUAAUUUUCAUUGGGAUUGCUGAAGGUCCUUCUCUGCUGAAUGGGACCUCUGUGUAAUGCUAAAAGGAAUAUUCUGUUUAAUGUUCUGUUUCCUAGCCCUUUGUCUUUCCUUCACCCAAGAUAACUGCCAGCAUGUUCAUGAGUUUUUCAUUUGAAUGAAAUUUUGCUCUAGCUGUGGGCAGAAUAUAGAAAGAAAUCAAUAGCUAUUAAGAUACGUGAUACUGCAGGAUAUGGGAUCCUACUGGUAGAAAAAGCAAGGCCCAUUUAUUUAUUCACAUACCCGAGUGCCUGCAUUCACAGUCUGACCUCACUGCCCAGGUCCUGCUCUUCCCCCAGGUUUUCAGUGGGGUUUUUUGUUGCCAAAUGCUGAGCAGAGGAUGUUUUGCCCAUUGCAUUCUGCUAUGUUCUGUGCUAGUUUCCUGUGAAAGUGCCUUCAGGUAUUUUCCCAGGGCUCACAUUUAUUUGUUCAAGAACAAGUUAAGAAAGAAGAGUGACUGGAGGUUUUAAAACCCAUUUUCUUUUUAUCUAGUGUUCUGUUAA